GCUGGGCUUGGUAGCGCGAGCCUGUAACCCAAGUGGGAGCAUUAAGAUGGUGGAAUAAAUGGGCUUGCCUUGAAGGCUGGGCUCGGGGGUGCAAUCUACUGGCUUGCCCGUUCCAAGUGAUGAGUCCGGCUGGGAAGCCUCUGCGAAGGCGGAGGCCUCUCGGCCCUUAGAUCGGAGGGUACCGCGUCAGGCUGGCUUCACAGAGCAGCGAACACCUCUUCCUCUUUGCAGUGGAAGGAUAACAGGCCGGAGCAUCUUCAGUCCACCAAGCGCCUGAUGGGUUGUCCAAAAUAAACCACCAUCUUU
This 306-nucleotide signal recognition particle RNA is filed under the name Ipomoea nil (Japanese morning glory). RNAcentral's name for it is "Plant signal recognition particle RNA". It matches the Rfam family "Plant signal recognition particle RNA". Lineage: Eukaryota; Viridiplantae; Streptophyta; Magnoliopsida; Solanales; Convolvulaceae. The record is from Rfam by way of RNAcentral.